Molecule: ribosomal RNA, 254 nt
Filed under: uncultured bacterium
Lineage: Bacteria
Description: partial 16S ribosomal RNA
Rfam family: Bacterial small subunit ribosomal RNA
Source: RNAcentral
UACGUAGGGUGCAAGCGUUGUCCGGAAUUAUUGGGCGUAAAGAGCUCGUAGGCGGUCUGUCGCGUCGGCUGUGAAAACCCGGAGCUCAACUCCGGACCUGCAGUCGAUACGGGCAAACUGGAGUACUGCAGGGGAGACUGGAAUCCUGGUGUAGCGGUGAAAUGCGCAGAUAUCAGGAGGAACACCGGUGGCGAAGGCGGGUCUCUGGGCAGUAACUGACGCUGGAGGAGCGAAAGCGUGGGGAGCGAACAGGA